This 490-nucleotide ribosomal RNA is filed under the name uncultured bacterium. RNAcentral's name for it is "bacterial SSU rRNA". It matches the Rfam family "Bacterial small subunit ribosomal RNA", at positions 29 to 507 of the family's 1533-position model. The record is from RNAcentral.
AGUGAACGCUGGCGGCAGGCCUAAUACAUGCAAGUCGAACGGCAGCACAGCAGAGCUUGCUCUGUGGGUGGCGAGUGGCGGACGGGUGAGGAAUACAUGGGAAUCUGCCCAGUCGUGGGGGAUAACGUAGGGAAACUUACGCUAAUACCGCAUGCGCCCUUCGGGGGAAAGCCGGGGACCUUCGGGCCUGGCGCGAUUGGAUGAGCCCAUGUCGGAUUAGCUAGUUGGCGGGGUAAUGGCCCACCAAGGCGACGAUCCGUAGCUGGUCUGAGAGGAUGAUCAGCCACACUGGAACUGAGACACGGUCCAGACUCCUACGGGAGGCAGCAGUAGGGAAUAUUGGACAAUGGGCGCAAGCCUGAUCCAGCCAUGCCGCGUGAGUGAAGAAGGCCCUCGGGUUGUAAAGCUCUUUUGUCCGGAAAGAAAAGCGCCGGGUUAAUACCCUGGUGUCCUGACGGUACCGGAAGAAUAAGCACCGGCUAACUUCGUG